GACGAACGCUGGCGGCGUGCCUAAUACAUGCAAGUUGAGCGCUGAAGGUUGGUACUUGUACCAACUGGAUGAGCAGCGAACGGGUGAGUAACGCGUGGGGAAUCUGCCUUUGAGCGGGGGACAACAUUUGGAAACGAAUGCUAAUACCGCAUAAAAACUUUAAACACAAGUUUUAAGUUUGAAAGAUGCAAUUGCAUCACUCAAAGAUGAUCCCGCGUUGUAUUAGCUAGUUGGUGAGGUAAAGGCUCACCAAGGCGAUGAUACAUAGCCGACCUGGGAGGGUGAUCGGCCACAUUGGGACUGAGACACGGCCCAAACUCCUACGGGAGGCAGCAGUAGGGAAUCUUCGGCAAUGGACGAAAGUCUGACCGAGCAACGCCGCGUGAGUGAAGAAGGUUGUCGGAUCGUAAAACUCUGUUGGUAGAGAAGAACGUUGGUGAGAGUGGAAAGCUCAUCAAGUGACGGUAACUACCCAGAAAGGGACGGCUAACUACGUG
RNAcentral lists this ribosomal RNA (497 nucleotides) under uncultured bacterium. RNAcentral describes it as "partial 16S ribosomal RNA". It matches the Rfam family "Bacterial small subunit ribosomal RNA", at positions 28 to 507 of the family's 1533-position model. The record is from RNAcentral.